GUGAUUAAAUCGAGAGCGUCUUCAUUGACCUCUCACCCUUCACAUCCACAUACACCUGUGCACCGUUUGGCUCUUUUAAAAGACGUAAGUCUGCAAAGAGAGUCAUCAAUUUUAUACAUACCCCAGUCUUAUGAAUGUAACAGUUUUAAUAAACAAAAUAAAACUUUUAACAACGGAUCUCUUGGUUCUCGCAUCGAUGAAGAACGCAGCGAAAUGCGAUAAGUAAUGUGAAUUGCAGAAUUCAGUGAAUCAUCGAAUCUUUGAACGCACCUUGCGCUCUUUGGUAUUCCGAAGAGCAUGCCUGUUUGAGUGUCAUGAAACUCUCAACUCCCAACUUUCUUAAUAGUCGGUUGGGAGCUUGGACUUGAGCGUUGCUGGUCUUUAUUGACCGGCUCGCUUGAAAUGAAUUAGCAGAUCCUUUUUGUAAUCGGUUCCACUCGACGUGAUAAGUAUUUCGCCGAGGACAUCUUAACGGAUGGCCGAGAUAAAGAAAGUCUUUAGAUCCGCUUCUAAUUCUUAGUUAGAGCUUGCUCUACUAAACCCCUUUUAUGA
This 552-nucleotide unclassified non-coding RNA is filed under the name uncultured Mrakia. RNAcentral describes it as "sequence contains ITS1, 5.8S rRNA gene, ITS2". The stretch from base 162 to 315 matches the Rfam family "5.8S ribosomal RNA". Lineage: Eukaryota; Fungi; Basidiomycota; Tremellomycetes; Cystofilobasidiales; Cystofilobasidiaceae. The record is from RNAcentral.